This 253-nucleotide ribosomal RNA is filed under the name uncultured bacterium. RNAcentral's name for it is "partial 16S ribosomal RNA". It matches the Rfam family "Bacterial small subunit ribosomal RNA", at positions 524 to 776 of the family's 1533-position model. The record is from RNAcentral.
UACGGAGGGUGCAAACGUUGCUCGGAAUCAUUGGGCGUAAAGCGCACGUAGGUGGCUUGUUAAGUCGGGUGUGAAAUCCCUGGGCUCAACCCAGGAAGUGCACUCGAAACUGGCGAGCUUGAGUACUGAAGAGGGUCGCGGAAUUCCCGGUGUAGAGGUGAAAUGCGUAGAUAUCGGGAGGAACACCAGUGGCGAAGGCGGCAUCCUGGCCAUGUCCUGACGCUCAGGGGCGAAAGCGUGGGGAGCAAACCGG